RNAcentral lists this ribosomal RNA (424 nucleotides) under uncultured bacterium. RNAcentral describes it as "bacterial SSU rRNA". It matches the Rfam family "Bacterial small subunit ribosomal RNA", at positions 362 to 777 of the family's 1533-position model. The record is from RNAcentral.
UAUUGCGCAAUGGGCGAAAGCCUGACGCAGCGACGCCGCGUGAGGGAUGAAGGUCUUCGGAUCGUAAACCUCUGUCAGGAGGGAAGAAGUGGUUAUAUGCGAAUAGUGUAUGACUUUGACGGUACCUCCAAAGGAAGCACCGGCUAACUCCGUGCCAGCAGCCGCGGUAAUACGGAGGGUGCGAGCGUUAAUCGGAAUCACUGGGCGUAAAGCGCGCGUAGGCGGCUUUUCAAGUCAGGGGUGAAAUCCCACGGCCCAACCGUGGAACUGCCUUUGAAACUGUAGAGCUUGAGUGUCGGAGAGGGUGGCGGAAUUCCAGGUGUAGGAGUGAAAUCCGUAGAUAUCUGGAGGAACACCGGUGGCGAAGGCGGCCACCUGGACGACAACUGACGCUGAGGUGCGAAAGCGUGGGUAGCAAACAGGA